This 510-nucleotide long non-coding RNA is filed under the name Nicotiana tabacum (common tobacco). RNAcentral describes it as "long non-coding RNA (NTAB_LNC005180)". The record is from RNAcentral. Lineage: Eukaryota; Viridiplantae; Streptophyta; Magnoliopsida; Solanales; Solanaceae.
CCCCCCCCCCCCACCUUCGUCUUCUCCAGACUUAGACCAAAACCUCACAAGCUUCAACGAUUUUUUUGAGCUUCAGCAACCCAAACAACCCCUACUCUCUUCUUCCAUCUUCACAACCCAAAACCCCUCACCUCUAAGACCGGCAACAGACCACCCAUCACGCCGGACAACACACCUCCCUUCACCCAUCGUUGCUUAUACUUCUUCCCGUUUACAACAACCAGCUGGAAACGCACACACUCACGCACGCACAGUAAGAGAAGAGGUACAAAACAGACAAAAAUCAAAAAGGAAGGCUCUAACCUGAAAGUUUUUAUUUGUUUUCUCUGAAUUUUCAGAAUAUAUACAUGUAAGUAGUCUCUGUUUUAGAAGUUAAUUGGAUUGAGCUUAAGCAAAACGAAAACGUCUCAUGUUUCCUCUUUGCGAUUCUGAGUUCUUGGUUUCAAUUUUUGAGUUCGAUUGAGGUUGAGUUGAGUUCGAGUUUGUCGACGAGAUUCGAGUUCCUCCGGC